GAGCGGCGAACGGGUGAGUAACACGUGAGUAACCUGCCCCUGACUCUGGGAUAAGCCUGGGAAACUGGGUCUAAUACCGGAUAUGACAUCUACCCGCAUGGGUGGGAUGUGGAAAGUUUUUUCGGUUGGGGAUGGGCUCGCGGCCUAUCAGCUUGUUGGUGGGGUAGUGGCCUACCAAGGCGACGACGGGUAGCCGGCCUGAGAGGGCGACCGGCCACACUGGGACUGAGACACGGCCCAGACUCCUACGGGAGGCAGCAGUGGGGAAUAUUGCGCAAUGGGCGGAAGCCUGACGCAGCGACGCCGCGUGGGGGAUGACGGCCUUCGGGUUGUAAACCUCUUUCAGCAGGGACGAAGUUGACGUGUACCUGUAGAAGAAGCGCCGGCUAACUACGUGCCAGCAGCCGCGGUAAUACGUAGGGCGCAAGCGUUGUCCGGAAUUAUUGGGCGUAAAGAGCUCGUAGGUGGCUUGUUGCGUCUGCCGUGAAAGNCCCGUGGCUUAACUGCGGGUCUGCGGUGGAUACGGGCAGGCUAGAGGCUGGUAGGGGCAAGCGNANUCCU
Molecule: ribosomal RNA, 561 nt
Filed under: Planotetraspora sp. 316C10
Lineage: Bacteria; Bacillati; Actinomycetota; Actinomycetes; Streptosporangiales; Streptosporangiaceae
Description: bacterial SSU rRNA
Rfam family: Bacterial small subunit ribosomal RNA
Source: RNAcentral